Molecule: transfer RNA, 73 nt
Filed under: Thermoplasmatales archaeon
Lineage: Archaea; Methanobacteriati; Thermoplasmatota; Thermoplasmata; Thermoplasmatales
Also listed under: 2 other names
Description: tRNA-Val
Rfam family: tRNA
About the family: Transfer RNA (tRNA) molecules are approximately 80 nucleotides in length.
Source: RNAcentral
GGGCUCGUGGUCUAGUGGUUAUGACGUCGCCUUGACAUGGCGGAGGUCGAGAGUUCAAAUCUCUCCGAGCCCA